UUUUACAGCGCCAGAUGAGUUGGAAGCAUCUUCAGGUUUUUUUUCAGUGGACAAAGGAAUGGAAACACCAGCUAUCAUCGAAUUGAGAAAGAAAAAGAUACAAGAUGAAAUGGAGAGCAAUGCGAAUGCUUCUCUGUUUAAUAUUAUUCCUGAAAAGAAAACGGAAAGAAAUGGAAAAGAAAUGAUGCCAUCUAAUCAUAUCUAUGACGUGACGGGCUCAUUCAAAAGAACACAAGGAGUUGAAGUUGCACUGGAUCCAAAUGAUUUGGAAAUGCCUAUUGCAGAUUUAGCAGCUAAAUACGAGAAAUCAUUGAAACAAACGAGUAAAGAAGAUUUAAGUGAUAUGGUUGCUGAACACGUGGCCAGUCAGAAAAGGAAAAAAACACAAGACUCUUUCAAAUCCAAUAAGAAAUAUAAAGAUUUCAAAUUUUGACCUUUUUUGUGUAUUUUGACAUAAUUUUAGUAUUAUAUUCAUUUCAUUAAUUUUGUAAACAAAUUGAACUUUAAAUCUUAAUAAAAUUUCGUAUGUACAAUCUA
This is a non-coding RNA of Tetranychus urticae (two-spotted spider mite), 537 nucleotides long. NCBI's taxonomy places the organism in Eukaryota, Metazoa, Arthropoda, Arachnida, Trombidiformes, Tetranychidae. The record is from RefSeq and is a predicted model, not a curated record.